RNAcentral lists this transfer-messenger RNA (756 nucleotides) under Mobiluncus mulieris FB024-16. RNAcentral's name for it is "ssrA_2". The stretch from base 1 to 97 matches the Rfam family "transfer-messenger RNA", at positions 274 to 374 of the family's 374-position model. The record is from RNAcentral. Lineage: Bacteria; Bacillati; Actinomycetota; Actinomycetes; Actinomycetales; Actinomycetaceae.
UGGGUGGCCACCGGCCGAGAAUCUAAAGCAGACUGCACCCGGAGAAGAAGCAGGCUUGGUCGAUCGGACGGGGGUUCAAUUCCCCCCAUCUCCACUACGAGCACACUGAAUUGAUACAAUUGCGCAAAACUAGGGUUUUGCGCAAAGGUGCGCGCAAAAUUUGAAAACGCGCGCAAAAUCUAAAAGUCCUGCUCACAGGCAUAAAAAUAGAGCUGACUACUUCAACGGUGGUCAGCCCUAUUUCGCUUUGCGCGGGGUGCUAAAGUUUGUGGCUCCAGUAUCCGGUGAGCGCGAAUGCGGCGAUGAGUUGGAAUGCUGCUGCGCUUUGGAGGGCAAUGAAUGCCGUAAUGCUGAAUGCGUCCACGAUAAGUGACGCGCCAACGAGCACCAUGGAGAGCACAGUGAUGACGGGUCUUCCAGAUUUCAUGCGAAUCGCCGCUUCUCGCUCGUCAUUUUCACGAAUGUAGGCGGCCUGCAAUAUUUCGUCAUUGCGCAUUUUUCCAAGAUUCACGCCCAUGUAUCCCACACAGAUAAGUUCAAAAAUGAUUCCGGCGACGGUGAUGAUGUUGACGAUUGGUGUUCCCGGCACAUUUGCGCGCAGGAAGACGUUCCCUAGGGCACUAAAAGCGAGACCGAGAAUAACGAAGAUCAGUGCCAGGGCCUGACGUUUCUUCAGUUCGUUGCGGUAUUGCUCGAGUUCGUUCAUUUUGAUUCCUCCAGGUUUGUAAAGUCGAAGACGUCCUCAAUGGUGCGGCC